UACGUAGGGGGCAAGCGUUAUCCAGAUUUACUGGGUGUAAAGGGCGUGUAGGCGGGAAAGCAAGUCAGAUGUGAAAACCAUGGGCUCAACCUGUGGCCUGCAUUUGAAACUGUUUUUCUUGAGUACUGGAGAGGCAGACGGAAUUCCUAGUGUAGCGGUGAAAUGCGUAGAUAUUAGGAGGAACACCAGUGGCGAAGGCGGUCUGCUGGACAGCAACUGACGCUGAGGCGCGAAAGCGUGGGGAGCAAACAGG
Molecule: ribosomal RNA, 253 nt
Filed under: uncultured bacterium
Lineage: Bacteria
Description: partial 16S ribosomal RNA
Rfam family: Bacterial small subunit ribosomal RNA
Source: RNAcentral